RNAcentral lists this ribosomal RNA (927 nucleotides) under Fomitiporia sp. RNAcentral's name for it is "partial large subunit ribosomal RNA". It matches the Rfam family "Eukaryotic large subunit ribosomal RNA", at positions 50 to 954 of the family's 3401-position model. The record is from RNAcentral. Lineage: Eukaryota; Fungi; Basidiomycota; Agaricomycetes; Hymenochaetales; Hymenochaetaceae.
GCGGAGGAAAAGAAACUAACAAGGAUUCCCCUAGUAACUGCGAGUGAAGCGGGAAGAGCUCAAAUUUAAAAUCUGGCAGUCUUCUGGCUGUCCGAGUUGUAAUCUGGAGAAGCGUUUUCUGUGUUAGACCGUGUACAAGUCUCCUGGAACGGAGCGUCAUAGAGGGUGAGAAUCCCGUCCAUGACACGGACUACUAAUACUUUGUGAUACGCUCUCGAAGAGUCGAGUUGUUUGGGAAUGCAGCUCAAAAUGGGUGGUAAAUUCCAUCUAAAGCUAAAUACAGGCGAGAGACCGAUAGCGAACAAGUACCGUGAGGGAAAGAUGAAAAGCACUUUGGAAAGAGAGUUAAACAGUACGUGAAAUUGUUGAAAGGGAAACGCUUGAAGUCAGUCGUGUUGUGCAGAACUCAGCCUUGCCUCGGCUUGGUGUACUUUCUGCACAACGGGUCAACAUCAAUUUUGGCCCAUGGAGAAAGGUGGGGGGAAUGUAGCGCUGUUUCGGCAGCGUGUUAUAGCCCUCUAUUGUAUACAUGGGCUGGGAUUGAGGAUUGCAGCACGCCCUUGUGGCCGGGGGUUCGCCCUACGUACCGUGCUUAGGAUGUUGGCAGAAUGGCUUUAAGCGACCCGUCUUGAAACACGGACCAAGGAGUCUAACAUGCUUGCGAGUGUUCGGGUGGAAAACCCUUGUGCGUAAUGAAAGUGAAAGUUGGGAACCUCCGCAAGGGGGUGCACCGACGCCCGGCCCUGACGUUCUCUGACGGUGCUGCGGUAGAGCAAGUAUGCUAGGACCCGAAAGAUGGUGAACUAUGCCUGAAUAGGGCGAAGCCAGAGGAAACUCUGGUGGAGGCUCGUAGCGAUUCUGACGUGCAAAUCGAUCGUCAAAUUUGGGUAUAGGGGCGAAAGACUAAUCGAACCAUCUAGUAGCUGG